RNAcentral lists this transfer RNA (89 nucleotides) under Thermicanus sp. RNAcentral's name for it is "tRNA-Ser". It matches the Rfam family "tRNA". From Rfam's summary of the family: Transfer RNA (tRNA) molecules are approximately 80 nucleotides in length. Lineage: Bacteria; Bacillati; Bacillota; Bacilli; Thermicanales; Thermicanaceae. The record is from RNAcentral.
GGAGGAGUACCGAAGUGGUCAUAACGGGGCGGUCUUGAAAACCGUUUGGGUGUAAGCCCACGGGGGUUCGAAUCCCUCCUCCUCCGCCA